CCUACGGGAGGCAGCAGUGAGGAAUAUUGCGCAAUGGAGGCAACUCUGACGCAGCCAUGCCGCGUGCAGGAAGAAGGCGCUACGCGUUGUAAACUGCUUUUAUCCGGGAAGAAACCCCAGGACGUGUCCUGGGUUGACGGUACCGGAGGAAUAAGCACCGGCUAACUUCGUGCCAGCAGCCGCGGUAAUACGAAGGGUGCAAGCGUUAUCCGGAUUCAUUGGGUUUAAAGGGUGCGUAGGUGGGGCGAUAAGUCAGCGGUGAAAUCCUGCAGCUCAACUGCAGAAUUGCCGUUGAUACUGUCGCUCUUGAGUACGCUUGACGUGGGCGGAAUGUGCCGUGUAGCGGUGAAAUGCUUAGAUAUGGCACAGAACACCGAUAGUGAAGACAGCUCACGAAGGCGAAACUGACACUGAGGCACGAAAGCGUGGGGAUCGAACAGGAUUAGAUACCCUGGUAGUCCACGCCGUAAACGAUGAUCACUCGUGAUCGGCGAUAUACGGCCGGUCACCUAGCGAAAGCGUUAAGUGAUCCACCUGGGGAGUACGAUCGCAAGAUUGAAACUCAAAUGAAUUGACGG
Molecule: ribosomal RNA, 578 nt
Filed under: uncultured bacterium
Lineage: Bacteria
Description: bacterial SSU rRNA
Rfam family: Bacterial small subunit ribosomal RNA
Source: RNAcentral